UACGUAGGGUGCGAGCGUUAAUCGGAAUUACUGGGCGUAAAGCGUGCGCAGGCGGUUUUGUAAGCCAGAUGUGAAAUCCCCGGGCUCAACCUGGGAAUGGCAUUUGGGACUGCAAGGCUGGAGUGCGGCAGAGGAAGGUGGAAUUCCACGUGUAGCGGUGAAAUGCGUAGAGAUGUGGAGGAACACCAAUGGCGAAGGCAGCCUUCUGGGUCGACACUGACGCUCAUGCACGAAAGCGUGGGGAGCAAACAGG
RNAcentral lists this ribosomal RNA (253 nucleotides) under uncultured bacterium. Its description in RNAcentral is "partial 16S ribosomal RNA". It matches the Rfam family "Bacterial small subunit ribosomal RNA", at positions 524 to 776 of the family's 1533-position model. The record is from RNAcentral.